CUGAGGUUUCGGGGCUCCGCGAGGAGACUCUGGUUACCCGACCUUUUGUCAUGUGGUUGUUGGAGCUGGGCUUGCCGGACGGUCUGUGCGCGUGCGCAUCCCGAUGUGGAUGUGUGCGUGGGACGGGCCGGACGUCAGGUCGUCCGACGAUUGAUAACUUCGGCGGAGGUGGCAGGCUUUGUUCAUGACGAGCGAAGACCUGCCCGCCGCCGGCCGUAUGUCGAAACUCUUGUGAGAAGGAUGAAGUCUGACGAAAACGAGAAAUCUAAAAAAAGCAA
Molecule: unclassified non-coding RNA, 278 nt
Filed under: uncultured Ascomycota
Lineage: Eukaryota; Fungi; Ascomycota
Description: sequence contains ITS1
Source: RNAcentral